UACGAAGGGGGCUAGCGUUGCUCGGAAUCACUGGGCGUAAAGCGCACGUAGGCGGACUGUCACGUCUGCUGUGAAAAGCUGGGGCUUAACCCUGGCCUUGCAGUGGAUACGGGCAGACUAGAGGUAGGUAGGGGAGAAUGGAAUUCCCGGUGUAGCGGUGAAAUGCGCAGAUAUCGGGAGGAACACCGGUGGCGAAGGCGGUUCUCUGGGCCUUACCUGACGCUGAGGAGCGAAAGCGUGGGGAGCGAACAGG
This 253-nucleotide ribosomal RNA is filed under the name uncultured bacterium. Its description in RNAcentral is "partial 16S ribosomal RNA". It matches the Rfam family "Bacterial small subunit ribosomal RNA", at positions 524 to 776 of the family's 1533-position model. The record is from RNAcentral.